Molecule: long non-coding RNA, 210 nt
Filed under: Lathyrus oleraceus (garden pea)
Lineage: Eukaryota; Viridiplantae; Streptophyta; Magnoliopsida; Fabales; Fabaceae
Description: Pisum sativum (pea) long non-coding RNA (PSAT_LNC028026)
Source: RNAcentral
AAAAGAUGCCAUGUUUCAUGAUGAAGAGACCAUAGGAGUUUUCAUGAAAAGAUGCAAGUAUUUUUCAUUCUGGAUCAGUGGUAAUCGAUUACCUAAAAUUGGGUAGCCGGUUACAUGCAUUCAACGUUACAAAAUAAUUUGAAUUUUGCUUGAGGUAACCGGUUACUUAAAAUAGGAUAACCGGUUACAUGGUUCUAAAGUUUAAAAAAA